UGAUCCUGGCUCAGGAUGAACGCUAGCGGCAGGCUUAACACAUGCAAGUCGAGGGGUAUUAGUUUUCGGACUAAGAGACCGGCGCACGGGUGCGUAACGCGUAUGCAAUCUACCUUUUACAGAGGGAUAGCCCAGAGAAAUUUGGAUUAAUACCUCAUAGUAUAAUGACUCGGCAUCGAGAUAUUAUUAAAGUCACAACGGUAAAAGAUGAGCAUGCGUCCCAUUAGCUAGUUGGUAAGGUAACGGCUUACCAAGGCUACGAUGGGUAGGGGUCCUGAGAGGGAGAUCCCCCACACUGGUACUGAGACACGGACCAGACUCCUACGGGAGGCAGCAGUGAGGAAUAUUGGACAAUGGGCGCAAGCCUGAUCCAGCCAUGCCGCGUGCAGGAUGACGGUCCUAUGGAUUGUAAACUGCUUUUAUACGAGAAGAAACACUGCUUCGUGAAGCAGCUUGACGGUAUCGUAAGAAUAAGGAUC
Molecule: ribosomal RNA, 479 nt
Filed under: Flavobacterium sp. WB4.1-23
Lineage: Bacteria; Pseudomonadati; Bacteroidota; Flavobacteriia; Flavobacteriales; Flavobacteriaceae
Description: bacterial SSU rRNA
Rfam family: Bacterial small subunit ribosomal RNA
Source: RNAcentral